CCUCAUCUCAUUCCCCAUGUGAGCGCGUAGACGGACGGACGCGUGCACGUAAACAUAACAAUAAACAAACGUGAACAAUAUAAACAAAUCAUGCUAACAAUCGUGUUUACACAGUGAAGUGACGUGACGUUAACAUAAUGAACCGAACGGUCCUUUUCGCCCUGUGCGUCACAAUCCUAGCAACCAGCGUCGCAGGCUACCGCCUCCUGCCAUGGCACAGGUCCCUGCAACCCGACACCCACACACAGUCAUCGGAGACUGCACGUACAUCGAACCUUAAUGUGUCUGACGACUACAGAAAGUAUAGUUACCUAAUAACUACAUACUUAUGACACAAGUAGGAUGGCUAGAUUUAGAUAUGUGAGACGCUAUAACGCAGGUUCGAUGUGUUGCCUCCCUGUCGCACUUACGUACAAAUUUACAAGUGCGACAGAGAGGUAACAUGUCGAACGUUGUUCGCGGUAAUCACUCAGUUUAGUGCGGAGCUCAAAAAAUAUAUAAAAGAUUUAAGUCCCGCUUUAGUUCAAUUAUGUAUAAAUUUAUAUAAUUGAUAUAAGUUACCAUAUGUCCGUGAAAAUAUUUAUGUGUAAAUUAAUAUUUAUAUUUUUAAUAGACAAAAUCAAUAAAUUUAAAA
Long non-coding RNA from Cydia fagiglandana, 634 nucleotides. RefSeq lists it as uncharacterized. Lineage: Eukaryota; Metazoa; Arthropoda; Insecta; Lepidoptera; Tortricidae. The record is from RefSeq and is a predicted model, not a curated record. The transcript has 2 exons.